RNAcentral lists this unclassified non-coding RNA (572 nucleotides) under Hevea brasiliensis (rubber tree). The record is from RNAcentral. Lineage: Eukaryota; Viridiplantae; Streptophyta; Magnoliopsida; Malpighiales; Euphorbiaceae.
UCUUAGAUUGGAUUGAGGAAAUGAGAAGGAAAGUUGGGUUGGUCAGUUUGAGCAAAUCAGAAACUACCCAAUGUUCUAAAUGCAAAAAUUGAUAUUUAUGUGUUAACAGGAGUGGCAUAAUUGCAUUUGGCAUGGGGUUUAUAAUGACAUAUUAGUCAAAUGGGUUCUUUUAGAAGAAUAAUGACAAUGCGUUAUGAGAUAUUCUAUGAUUAUAAUCACUAGUUUAAUCCUGAAUCCUUGUGAUAAAUCUUCCAUUUUGUUAUAUACACUGGGAGGAUGGAUUCAUUGGCCCCAUAUUAACAGUUGAAUACUAUUUCGUUGAUUUCCAGCUGGGACUUUGUUCAGUUGGUAACUAGUAACUGCUUCUUUUUUUCCCUCCCCAUAAUUUGUAACCUCAUUCUGGUAUGCUUUAAAUGGAAUACUGCUUAAUUGGCUGCUGACUUUGAGAACUAUCCGGCGUUAAGUUUCACUUAUCUCUCCAUUUUGAGUUGGUUCAGAUCUCUCUCCCCACUUGCUGGUACCUCUGAAAAAUGAUCUUGUUCUAAAUUUCCUCUUUUCAGGAAUUUCUGGUG